CAUUCCAAAACAGAAUUUAGGACUAGAAAGUAAAUAAAAUAACUAUUGUUAAGGACUAGGAAAGUAAAUACUAAAAUUAACAACUCAAAUACCUAAUGGACUUAAAUAUCAUAAUCUAAACUUCAUUUGUUAACGGUCACAACAACUUUUGUGACAGAUAAGUAGUCAAAAGUCUAGUUCUGGAUCCUAGAUACUAUGGUGAAAUGCUCCUCUGCCUUUUGUGUCUUAGCUACUUAUCUUUAAUUUGCAUCUACUUUCCCUUGGUUAUCACGCCUCCUUGCUCUUUGUUUAUUGGUGAAUAUGUGCGCAAACCAUGUGUUGACAUCAAUGGAGGAUUAGUUUUGGAGACUUCAAAUGCUUGUAUCAAGUAUGCGUUCCGGUGCACCUGUUUCUUGGUCUUUUUGGUGCUUGCAAUCCAAGAUGGAGAUUGUCAGGCUUAGACUAAAGAUGGGGUUUUUCAAUUGACUCUUGCAUCUCGAGUAAUUUCCUAGGUGAUGAAGAGUUUUGUCAGCUUUGCACUGAACUAUGCCCUUCUUUCUGUGCUUGUUGUUGGGUCUAAUCGAGUAGUGGAUUGUUCUUGUCAUGGAGGGCUUUGUUUGGACAUCUGUAUUGAGAUUUUAUUUAAUUUGAGUUUAGGUAUUCUUUAGUUCAAUUUUUGUGAGCACUGAGAUUCUCAUUUCAGUUUUCUUCCCCAAUUAGAGUGGUCCCUCUUCUCUUUGUCAAAAAUUGCGGCUAUGUGGAAGUUCCCAACUUAAUAGUUUUUCUUGCACCAAUGUGUUAUAUUCUGCUGCUGUUUUUUGUUCGAAUGCUUGUGGUGUUCGCCAACUAAUGGUGUUUGAUGGGUACAUGGUCUAAUCGACAGCUGAUAAGUAAUCAAAACUUGAUCCAAACUCAAUCCUUGAUCUCGACAGCCUCAUCAAGUGGGUCUGUCUCUCUUGGUAUAUCUUGCUGCUUAUCUUCUUGCUUCUUGUUUGUUGUGUCACCCCAGCUUGAUUUUAUUUGUUGUAUGGAUUCCAGUUAAAAGGAAUUGAUUUGGAAAUUCUGAAGGUUGAUUCCCAAUGCCCUAGAAUGGGCAGCCUGUUUCUCUGCCAUUUUAGAGCUGGCACUGGAAUCAGAAUAUAAUAAGGCAAGAUACAGUGGUUUCUCAAUCGUAGUUCUUUGCUAUUUUUGUGCUUGCACCGGGAUCCGAGUAUUAUCAGGCUUUGAGAGGAGUUCUUCAACCCUGUAUUGCAUUUUUACUGUGUUUCGUCAGGUUUGCACGUAACUCUCCCCUUCAUUCCUCUUCUUGCAGCCAUUGGAUCGUACAAAAUAGUGGACUCUUCUUUCAAUGGAGUGACCUUUCUUGUCUUAUAUGAGUUCAGGCCUUUUUAGUUCAGUCUUUUAUAGUAUCAAAAAUUUUAAAUGGAGUUAUCUUUCAUCAUGGCUCCUCUUAUCUGUGUCAAAAUUACUGUUGUGUGGAAGUUUCUCAAUUAGUAUGUUAUUUUGACCAGUGUGUUGUAUUUUUCUGCUGCCAUGAAGUUCUUAGUCCAGAUGCAUAUGUUCUUCAAUGAUCCGAGUGAUGAGGUUUCCUAUUGUGAUGGGGUCUUUUAUGGCUGUGGAAACCUAAAUAAGUACUCCGCCAAUUCUAGAUCUUCUGAUAUUGACAAUUACUUAAAGUACUUAUGUUAACUUUUGAUCUUCUAUCUCCUUAUCUUCUGUGCUUCCAUUUCUUUCAUUAUCACGCUAGUUUGUUUUGGUUGGAUAGAUGUGUAGCCAUAUGGUGAUACUUUUAUGGACAUUUAGAUUUGGAGAUUCCAAAGGUUGGUUAUAACCAACAUGUGAUCCUCUGUCACCUUUUGGACAAUGGUGCUUGCAUUGCAAAUUUGGAUUUCCAGGCUUUGACACAAGGGGUUUUUUGGUCUUGUCUUUGGCAUAUUUAGUUAUUACAUGGGUGGUUUUGGGGUUUGUCAGAUCUGCACUUAACUAUCCCUUUCUUUCAAUUCCUGCAGUCGUUGAACCACAAAGCAGUAUUGUUCUUUUCAUGAAGCGGUCGUGUUUUAUCUGUUUGUGUUGAGGUUUCUUUAGUAGAGUCUUUUAUGAAUAUUAGGAUUUUUGAUUCAAUUUUCUUCCCUUAUGGAUCCGUUUUCUCUGUCAAAACUAUUGUUAUAUGGAUGUUUUUCUGGACUAAGAUAAUUUUGUUACAAGUGUGUAUUAUUUUUUGUUGCCAUGAAGAUUUUAAUCAGACACUUUGUUCUUCAAUGAUCCAACUGAUGACCUCCAUUAUGGUUAUUGUCGCUUGAUAGGUACUUGGUUUGUGGAUUUAUCUCUCCAUAAAGUGUUGCUCUACUUAUGGUCCUCUUGCUACAUAUAUUUUUUACUGCCAUUUUUUUGUUGGAUGGAUGUGUAGACUAUAUGGUGAAAAUAUUAGAGGUUGAUUUCAAUGGUUGAGAUGCUGUAUAGUAGAGGUUGAUUUCAAUGGUUGAGAUGAUGUACGCUCUUGGUCUUUUUGGUUCUUGCACUGCAAUUUGGAUGUAUUGCUUAGGGCUUCAACAAAGAAGGGUUUUAUUUCUUGUCUAAAUCUCAUCUCUAGUGAUUUCUUAGGUGGUGUGGGUUUCGUGUUUUGGUUGUACCUUUCUUUUUGUGCUUGCAUCCAUUUGGUCUUAUAGAGCAAUGAAUUAUUUUUUUCAUGGAGCGGCUUAGUUUGUCCAUAUAUAUUGAGGUUGCCUUAGUUCAGUCUUUUAUGAGUACUUGGAUUUUUAUCUAAAAUAGUUUUUAUUUUUCACUAGUGUGUGUCAUAUUCUACUGUCAUUUUUGUUUUUUGUCCAGAUGCUCCUUUCCUUCAAUUAUCCAAUUGUGAGACUCCACAUGGUUGAUGGUCAUGGCCUUAUGGACACCUGACAAGAUCUCAAUUUGGAUCUCUUUAAAGCCUCAUAAAUGGGUUUCGUAACUCUUCGCUUCACUCCUUUGCAUGCAGCCAUUGGUCUCACAAAGCAGUUGAUUUUUUUCUGAUGGAGUACCCUUAUUUGUCCAUAUGGCGUUGUUGAGGUUUUUUUUAGUUCAGUCUUUUAUGAGUAUGAUAAUUUUCAAUUUAGUCAUUUUCCCUAAUGACUGUUUUGUCUUUUUAAAACUACUGAUGUGGAAGUUUCUCAAUUAGGACAUCAAAGCGUGAUGCAUAUAUAUGAUAGGAGUCUUGCGCAACUCAAGUGAAAUAUUGUUAAAAAGACUCUAUCGGUAAUCAGAAAGAGAAAACAGUUUUUCACCUGUGUAUUGUAUUCUGCUGCCAUGAAGUUCUAAGUCCAGAUGUAUAUGUCUUGGAUGAUCCAAUUGAUGAGGUCUCUUAUAGUGAUAUGAAGUCUGUUAUGGCUAUGUACAACUGAUAAGUACUCAACCAAAUGUAAAUCUUUUGAUCGCGGCGUAAAAUACUUUGUUUAUUUUGUUCUUAGCUACUUACUUGUCUUCUCUUCUUCCAUUUUUUCCUGUUAUCACACUAGUUUUUUUUUGUUUGAUGGAUGUGUAGACCGUAUGGUGAUACUGUUAUGGAUGUUCAGGUUUGGAAAUUUUAAAGCUUGGUUAACCAACAUGCGAUCCUCAGCCACCUUUUGGACUUUUUGGUUCUUGCACUACAAUCUUGAUAUUUUCUGGGCUUUGACAAAAGGGGGUUUUCAGUCUCGUCUAUGGCAUAUCUAUUCAUCAUUUGGGUUGUUUGGGGUUUGUCAGAUUUGCACUUAACUGUUCCCUUCUUUCUGUUCUUGCAGCCAUUGCCUACAAGGAAGUGAUUGUUCUUUUCAUGAAGCGGUUGUGUUGCCCAUUUGUGUUGAGGUUUCUUUAGUUAUGUCUUUUGUGUUUGUUGUGUUCUGCUGCCAUGAAGUUUGCCAGUAAGUACUCGGUCAAUAUUGGAUAUUACUUUUUGACAACGUCAUUAAGUGCUCCUCCACUUCUGCUCAUCUAACUACAUAUGUUGUUUCCUUCCAUGUAGACUAUAUAGGACAUAAUUGACAAUUCGAAGUUACAGAUUAUUCCUUUCCUGCAAUGGAUGCGGUGGAAAAAGGAUUCCUAAAUUUUAUUGUCCGUUAUUUCGUAUGUGACGACAGGUCAAACUAUAUUGUGUCGGUAAUUAGAAGUUAAACAUUUGGAGAUUUCAAAGGUUAAUGUCCAGUAUAGUAUCUCUGUACCCUCUUGGUCUUUUUGGUUCUUGGUAUGUAAUCUGGUUAUAUUGGUCAAGCCUUCAACAAAAAAAGGGUCUUUAAUAUUAUCUAUAGGACAUCUCUUACUGAUUUCUUAGGUGGUAAGGGUUCUGUCAAUUUUGAACUUGAUUGUACCUUUUUUUUGUUCUUGCAGCCAUUGGGUAUUAAAGAGCAGUAAAAUAUUCUUUUGAUGGAGAGGCUUUGUUUGUCCAAUUUAUGUCGAGGUUUCCAUGGUUUAGGCUUGUAUGAGUACUGAGAUUUGCAACUAUUUUUUUCAAUUAGUGUGUGUGAUAUUCUAUCGUCAUUUUUGGAUUUCCGUUUAGAUGCUUAUUUUUUCAAUUAUCCAAGCUGAUGAGAUACUUGAUUGUUGAUGGUUAUGAUCUUGUGGACACUUAACAACUACUCAAUUUUGGAUCUUUUGAUUUGCUAUUGUUGUUUGAUUGAUCAGGUAUGGCUAAUAAUGAUGGGAGAACAAUUAUGGGUAUCUUUCCUGUGCAUUUAUUUAUUUUGUUCCCAAUUUCUUGAUGUACCUUUGAUUGAUUUCCAUUUUUUUUAUUUUAGAAAAUGGAAGUUGGUAAUGUCCGUUCAGGAUGCAGUUUUUCAAAAUCGAGUAUUGCUUCCAGGUUUUGCAAUAUUCUGAGGUUUUUGUUGUGAGAAAUCAUGUGUUGUGUACAUUAUCUUAUCACCCUAUUUACUACUCUAAAACCUAGCAAUUUCCUUUUGUUGAAUCAGAAUAUGAGUAGAAGUGGGAAUUUGGAUCUUAAGAUGAACGAGUCCCAUUGUCAUCUCUUGUCAUAACCAUAGAGAGGAGCUGUCAGUUUGGAUUUGAUAUCUUGACUUCAAUCUUUAAUGCUAAUAUUGAUGCCUAUCAUGUUUCUCCUCGCUCAAUUAUUUUGUUUGGUCAUCACUGGAUGUUAUUCUUAGCUGUCAACGAUACAUGGAUGUGCAUCUAGGUGCAAGUGAUUCUACAGGAGUAGGUGUCUUGUUUUGGUGUUCCUCUUGGGAAAGAUGCAGGAGUCCCCAGGUUUUUGACAUUAGGUAGUCUCUCAAAGUUUUGUCAUACUGCUUAUGGAAGUUCUCAACUAUUUCUCUUCACUUGUGUGCAUAACGCGUUCUGCUGCCUGUUAUAGUUGAUGGUUCAGAUGCGAAUGUUCUUUGAUAAUUCUGUUAUAUCUUGUGGUGUUCUGGUCACUAUAUAAGUAAUCGAAGUGAAUUUUGGAUCUCUGAUAGUGCCGUAAUGUGAUCCUCUGCCUUUUGUGUCCUAACUACUUGUUUUCUCUCUUCUUCUAUUUUCUCUUGGUUAUCACACUUGCUUGAUCUUGUUUGUUGGUGAAUAUAUGUGUAGACCACAUGGUGAUAUUAAUAAAGGAUUAGUUUUGGUAACUUCGAAUGCUUGUAUCCGGUAUGCAUUCCUGUGCACCUUUUUCUUUGUCUUUUUGGUGCUUGCAUUCCAAGAGAGAUAUUGUCAGUCUUCGACUAAUGGGUUUUUUCAAUAUCUCUUGCACCUCCAAUGAUUUCUUAGGUUAUAAGGGUUUUGUUAGCUUUGCACUUAAUAUUUCUCUUCUUUCUGUCCUUGCAACCUCAUUUCUUUGCGGGUCUAGCUGGGCAGUUAAUUAUCCUUUUCGUGGAGGGAUUUUGUUUGGACAUUUGUGUUGAGGUUCUUCUAGUUCAUGUUUUAUGAGUUCUGUCAUUCAUAUUUCAGUUGUCUUCCCCAAUUGUAGUGGCUUCCUAUCUUUGUCAAAAAUUGAUGUUAUAUGAAAAUCCCUAGUUAAAUUAGUUUUUCUUGCACUAGUGUGUGUUGUAUUCUGAUGCUGCUUUUAGUUUGUUGAUCGAAUGCUUGUGUUCUUCGGUGAUCCAAUUGAUGAGAUUCCGAGAUGCCCUGGUUGGUUGAUGGGUAUGUGGUCUUAUUGGCACCUGAUAAGUAAUCAAAACUCAAUCCUAUAUCUUUUUACAGCCCCAUUAAGUGGGUCGGUUCUCUGCUUCUGUUAUUUGUAUCACCUCAUCUUGAUUUUGUUUGUUGGAAUGAUGACACUCGAGGGUUAGAUUUGGAAAAUUUUGAAGGUUGAUGCCUAGUGUCCAUUCUUGUGCAAGCUGUUUCUCCGCCAUUUCUUUGCUGGCACUACAAUCUGAAUAUUAGUAGGAGAGAUAUAGAGGGGUUUCUCAAUCUUGAUUCCUUGCCAGUUUUGUGGUUGCACCACAAUGUGGAUACUAUCAGGCUCUAUGAGAGGGUUUUUUCAAUCAUUGUCUUGCAUUUUCUAGUGGGUUUCGUCAUCUUUGCAAGUAAUUAAUUCUUUCCUUCAUUCCUUUGUUUGCAGCUAUUUGGCCUUACAGAGCAGUGGAUUCUUCUUUUCAAGGAGUGAUAUUGUUUGUCCACAUUAGUUGAGGCCUUUCUAGUUCAACAUUAUAUGGGUAUCGAUAAUUUUCAGUUCAGUUUUCGUCCCUUGUGGCUCCUCUUAUCUUUGUCAAAAUUACUAUUGUAUGGGAGUUUAUCAAUUAGGGUAUUAUUUUUGACACAGUGUUGUAUUUUCUCUGCUGCCAUAAGUUCUUAGUUAAGAAGCAUCUUCUCUUUGAUGAUCCAAGUUGUAAGGUGCAUGGUGAUAAUGAUGUCUUUUGUGUGGAAACCUGAAGAAGUACUCGGCCAAUACUAGACCUUUUAAUAAUGAUGUAGAUUACUUCUUUACUUUGUUCUUCUAGCUACUUUU
Solanum pennellii is the source of this 6865-nucleotide long non-coding RNA. RefSeq lists it as uncharacterized. NCBI's taxonomy places the organism in Eukaryota, Viridiplantae, Streptophyta, Magnoliopsida, Solanales, Solanaceae. The transcript has 2 exons. The record is from RefSeq and is a predicted model, not a curated record.